GCGGCAGUGAUGAGGAUUUCCUCGAUGAAAGGAUCGAGACGCUGGAGGACUGUGAGGUUGAGGAGCCGCGUACUGUUCUGAUCCAUAUUUGGUGGGAUCAGCUUCCCGUUCUGAGACAUCUUUUUCUAAAUCUGGGGGAAUAGAUGGUUCGAUCUGGUUUAGCUCGAAUAGGAAGAACCCUAGGGAUUCUGAUUUACGCAAAGCUCAGAUUUGGGGGUUGGAGAAAGCCGGGCGAGAGGUAUUGGAGAACUCACGAGAUCACUUUCGCUUGGGAAAAGAAAGGAUAUGGGUGUUUGGUAAUAGUUUAAGGCCUUUUUUAUUGGGCUUGGGCUCUAGUUAGUAUGGGCCCAGACGCCAUCUCCAUCAGGGUUAAAAUUUUGAUUAAUUAAUUUAUAGCAAAAACUUUUUAAAGACUAUCCCAUAAAAUUUCUCAAACUGGCAAAUUAUUUCAAAUAGCUCAUUUUUAAGUUUUUGUCUCAAAAAUAGUAUCAAGAAAAUGAUCAAAAUAGUUUUUUUUUAAAAAAAAUUAUUAAUAUUUAUUUUUUAUUUUUAAAAUUUUGAAAUCAUAUCCCAAAACCUCACCCCUUAAUUCAUAGAUUAGUUAACCAUAGGAUAGAAUUUAAUUACUUAUUUUGGUCAUUUUUUUCAUAUAGAACUAUUUUUACAAUUUUUGUAACAAAAACUUAAAAUGACUAUCGUAAAAAAUUUCUCAAACCUAUAUAUUAGUACUUCCAAGAUGUCCUAAAAAAAUUUCAAAUCUAUAUUUUUCUAAAAAAAUUUUUUGUAAAGUUUAAAACAUAUAAUGAAGCAUAUAGUAUGGUUGAAAUCUUACGUGGAGAAUGAUCUUGUAUGUGUUUAAACAAUUUGGUUAAUACAAAGUAGAAGUUUGAGAAAAAAAAACAUAUAAU
This is a long non-coding RNA of Brassica rapa (field mustard), 908 nucleotides long. RefSeq lists it as uncharacterized. The record is from RefSeq and is a predicted model, not a curated record. Lineage: Eukaryota; Viridiplantae; Streptophyta; Magnoliopsida; Brassicales; Brassicaceae.